Glycine soja is the source of this 551-nucleotide long non-coding RNA. RefSeq lists it as uncharacterized. The record is from RefSeq and is a predicted model, not a curated record. The transcript is spliced from 2 exons. NCBI's taxonomy places the organism in Eukaryota, Viridiplantae, Streptophyta, Magnoliopsida, Fabales, Fabaceae.
AUGAGCGUAUACACAUGCAAACUUUUCGAGUAUUUCUUCUCUCAACUACAUCUGAUGGAGAGAAGAGGUCAACGCCAGUCAAUCCCAAAAUUUUGCAAAUCUGCAAAUUAAAAGCUUUUGCCAAGUGGCCUUGUGUUGUGGCUUCUACUUGGUGGUCAAGUUUUUUAUGAUUGAUUUGGACUUUUAGUUCCAUUGGAGCGAGUGUCAUGGAGAUGCCGAAAGAAGUUCUAAAGGCCUUGUAGUUGGUUGAAGACAUCUAGGAAUUAUGCACCUCAGUCGCACCAUUUCUCACCUUGGUCGCACCAUUUCUCUCCAUUGUUUUCUUGCUUAUCAACCUUGUAUUUUCUGGUUUCAUUAUCAUUUGAUAUUUUGAUGUAACUUUGUAUUGUCCUCUCCAAGCUGCAAGUGUUGUGAAUAUACUUCACUUCCAGCUUACGGGAAUAUUAGAGAUGUAGAUAGUCUGGCCAUAUAAAUCACACCACAUACUAUUGUAACUCGAUUUACUCAUUUUGAGUAAUGUCCUAAUAAUACGCACUUUUACCUUUCCUCCA